Molecule: non-coding RNA, 29 nt
Filed under: Homo sapiens (human)
Lineage: Eukaryota; Metazoa; Chordata; Mammalia; Primates; Hominidae
Source: RNAcentral
UUAAGCUGGAGUGCAGUGGUACCAUCUUG